RNAcentral lists this ribosomal RNA (812 nucleotides) under bacterium RBA-1-13. Its description in RNAcentral is "bacterial SSU rRNA". It matches the Rfam family "Bacterial small subunit ribosomal RNA", at positions 28 to 850 of the family's 1533-position model. The record is from RNAcentral.
GACGAACGCUGGCGGCGUGCUUAACACAUGCAAGUCGAACGAUGAUGCCCAGCUUGCUGGGUGGAUUAGUGGCGAACGGGUGAGUAACACGUGAGUAACCUGCCCCUGACUCUGGGAUAAGCGUUGGAAACGACGUCUAAUACUGGAUAUGAUCACUGGCCGCAUGGUCUGGUGGUGGAAAGAUUUUUUGGUUGGGGAUGGACUCGCGGCCUAUCAGCUUGUUGGUGAGGUAAUGGCUCACCAAGGCGACGACGGGUAGCCGGCCUGAGAGGGUGACCGGCCACACUGGGACUGAGACACGGCCCAGACUCCUACGGGAGGCAGCAGUGGGGAAUAUUGCACAAUGGGCGAAAGCCUGAUGCAGCAACGCCGCGUGAGGGAUGACGGCCUUCGGGUUGUAAACCUCUUUUAGUAGGGAAGAAGCGAAAGUGACGGUACCUGCAGAAAAAGCACCGGCUAACUACGUGCCAGCAGCCGCGGUAAUACGUAGGGUGCAAGCGUUGUCCGGAAUUAUUGGGCGUAAAGAGCUCGUAGGCGGUUUGUCGCGUCUGCUGUGAAAUCCCGAGGCUCAACCUCGGGCUUGCAGUGGGUACGGGCAGACUAGAGUGCGGUAGGGGAGAUUGGAAUUCCUGGUGUAGCGGUGGAAUGCGCAGAUAUCAGGAGGAACACCGAUGGCGAAGGCAGAUCUCUGGGCCGUAACUGACGCUGAGGAGCGAAAGCAUGGGGAGCGAACAGGAUUAGAUACCCUGGUAGUCCAUGCCGUAAACGUUGGGCGCUAGAUGUAGGGACCUUUCCACGGUUUCUGUGUCGUA